GAGCCCCGGUGGCUCGUCGCUGACCCUCAUUGUGAAGGGUUUGAGGAAAGUCCGGGCAACACAGAGCACCAUAUUUCUUAACGGGAAGCUGUGGGAUGACUGCAGAGGCAACGUGACAGAAAAUAACCGCCCGCCACCGUGCGGGUAAGGGUGAAAAGGUGGGGUAAGAGCCCACCGGGUCCUGUAGCGAUACAGGACGCCGCACGCCUUAUGGGUUGCAAGGUCAAGUAUACCGGCAUUUAAGGGCUGCUCGUCCAUUGCCGGGGGGUAGACUGCUAUAGCGCGCAUGGCAACAUGCCGCACAGAUAAAUGACGAGCCGGCGGGGAAUGCGAGCCAUUAGUGGUGCGUGUUCCCUGGCGACAUAACCCGGCUUACAGCCGGGGCCACCCC
Molecule: RNase P RNA, 391 nt
Filed under: Muribaculaceae bacterium
Lineage: Bacteria; Pseudomonadati; Bacteroidota; Bacteroidia; Bacteroidales; Muribaculaceae
Description: RNase P RNA component class A
Rfam family: Bacterial RNase P class A
About the family: Ribonuclease P (RNase P) is a ubiquitous endoribonuclease, found in archaea, bacteria and eukarya as well as chloroplasts and mitochondria. Its best characterised activity is the generation of mature 5'-ends of tRNAs by cleaving the 5'-leader elements of precursor-tRNAs.
Source: RNAcentral